GACGAACGCUGGCGGCGUGCUUAACACAUGCAAGUCGAACGGAAAGGCCCUGCUUUUGUGGGGUGCUCGAGUGGCGAACGGGUGAGUAACACGUGAGUAACCUGCCCUUGACUUUGGGAUAACUUCAGGAAACUGGGGCUAAUACCGGAUAGGAGCUCCUGCUGCAUGGUGGGGGUUGGAAAGUUUCGGCGGUUGGGGAUGGACUCGCGGCUUAUCAGCUUGUUGGUGGGGUAGUGGCUUACCAAGGCUUUGACAGGUAGCCGGCCUGAGAGGGUGACCGGCCACAUUGGGACUGAGAUACGGCCCAGACUCCUACGGGAGGCAGCAGUGGGGAAUAGUGCACAAUGGGCGGAAGCCUGAUGCAGCAACGCCGCGUGCGGGAUGACGGCCUUCGGGUUGUAAACCGCUUUCGCCUGUGACGAAGCGUGAGUGACGGUAAUGGGUAAAGAAGCACCGGCUAACUACGUG
This 468-nucleotide ribosomal RNA is filed under the name uncultured bacterium. RNAcentral describes it as "partial 16S ribosomal RNA". It matches the Rfam family "Bacterial small subunit ribosomal RNA", at positions 28 to 507 of the family's 1533-position model. The record is from RNAcentral.